AGUACCCUGGUCACAAGCAAGAGAACAAACAUGAUGUACCAGCUCUUUUGAGGAUCAAACUUUGGCUCGGCCUGCAGUCCGAGGAGGACGCAUGGCACCAGAUGCAGAAAGAAGGUGAAAUGGCAGUGUUUGCUGAAACUUAUGAGAACCAACAGGAAGUACCCACACCCAGCUGGCAAUGGGAAGGUGAAUGGUAUAUUAACCCUGAGUUGAGUAUGAGACAGCCUGGAACCAACUGGGUAGAGUCAACCAGACCUUGGUCAAAUGUUG
Ruditapes philippinarum (Manila clam) is the source of this 270-nucleotide long non-coding RNA. RefSeq lists it as uncharacterized. The record is from RefSeq and is a predicted model, not a curated record. NCBI's taxonomy places the organism in Eukaryota, Metazoa, Mollusca, Bivalvia, Venerida, Veneridae. The transcript is spliced from 3 exons.